AUGCCGUACCUGGAACCUGUGUAUUUAUGCAAAGAAAUUUGGGAUGAGAACUGGAUACCUUCCAAGUAUUAUGAAGAAAAGAAAAAGGAUGAUAGCUGGGAUAAUUUGUGCUCUGAUACUGCAGAAAAUUCCUGCCAGGCUGCAGGUGAUGAAGGAAGCAAGGAUGAGACCCGCCACAGCCAGGACGCCAUGCCACAGGAUGCAGAUGUUUCCGGUACUGUUGACAGAAUGACAUGUCUUCAUCUGGAACCCCUGAGCCAGUUCCCCCAAUCGUCUGAAGGAACAGAGACAAGCCCUCCUGGAACAGCGCCUGAUGCUUUGCCACAGACACUGGAAGAGUUUUAUGUCUCUAUUUCCCAUUCCAAGAAAUCAGGAGAGUCAGACGAAAUUGAUUUGGAUGCCAGCAAAUUAUUUGCCCGUUGCGACCAGCCUCCACCAUCAGCAUCUGCGUUACAUGGUACUUGUGGGCUUACAGCUUAAUUGCAGGAAUGCAUAAAUCGAGUUAUGUGCAUCUUGAUGGUAUUGUGAUCUGCAGCUUUAUUA
RNAcentral lists this long non-coding RNA (543 nucleotides) under Varanus komodoensis (Komodo dragon). RNAcentral describes it as "lncRNA (ENSVKKG00000008966.1)". The record is from RNAcentral. Lineage: Eukaryota; Metazoa; Chordata; Lepidosauria; Squamata; Varanidae.